UCUUCUUAACUACCUUUUGCUAACCUAUUCUCUCCUUUUCUCUCUUCUUUUUUUUUGUAGCUCAUCCACCACUUUGACCAUUUUUCGGAGAUAGUCUAUGAAGCUCGAUAAAUUUUGAGGGAGGUCGAGGAAAAGGUCGCUCAGGCCACCCGGAGGGCAGAUGAUGCCCAGCUGCACCAGCUGAAGGCCAAGGAGGGGAACACAUCACUGAAGGAAGAGGUAAAGUGACUGGAGUCUAGAUUUUCCAAAUCUUGGGCCGACACUA
This 265-nucleotide long non-coding RNA is filed under the name Elaeis guineensis (African oil palm). Its description in RNAcentral is "long non-coding RNA (EGUI_LNC014924)". The record is from RNAcentral. Lineage: Eukaryota; Viridiplantae; Streptophyta; Magnoliopsida; Arecales; Arecaceae.